This 220-nucleotide unclassified non-coding RNA is filed under the name uncultured fungus. RNAcentral describes it as "sequence contains ITS1". The record is from RNAcentral. Lineage: Eukaryota; Fungi.
AGGUCGGGCGGCAGCCAUGAGAACGGCGAGCACGGCCGCUCGAAAGUCGUCCGGACAGUAGAGGUGCAGCUGCGGAGACCACACCAGCAUCGCUGCAACAGACAAGCGCACGGGCGUUGGACUCGCGCGGACGACGCCGUUAGCACAGCACCCGUCGCAUAUUGUACUUGGGUGCGGACCACAGCACACUGACGGCGAGCAGACGCCUGGACCAAACACA